UUUUUUAUAAAAGUUUUAUUUAUAAAUAUUAAUGAUAUUAUAAAUUUAUUUAUUUUAUUGGGGUGAUAAAAAAAUAAAUUUAACUUUUUUUAAUAUUUUUACAUGAAUAAGUGAUUAAUUGAUCCAUUAUUAUUGAUUAU
Molecule: ribosomal RNA, 140 nt
Filed under: Biston betularia (pepper-and-salt moth)
Lineage: Eukaryota; Metazoa; Arthropoda; Insecta; Lepidoptera; Geometridae
Description: partial large subunit ribosomal RNA
Source: RNAcentral